GAUGAACGCUGGCGGCGUGCUUAACACAUGCAAGUCGAACGAUGAAGCCCAGCUUGCUGGGUGGAUUAGUGGCGAACGGGUGAGUAACACGUGAGUAACCUGCCCUUAACUCUGGGAUAAGCCUGGGAAACUGGGUCUAAUACCGGAUAGGAGCGUCCACCGCAUGGUGGGUGUUGGAAAGAUUUAUCGGUUUUGGAUGGACUCGCGGUCUAUCAGCUUGUUGGUGAGGUAAUGGCUCACCAAGGCGACGACGGGUAGCCGGCCUGAGAGGGUGACCGGCCACACUGGGACUGAGACACGGCCCAGACUCCUACGGGAGGCAGCAGUGGGGAAUAUUGCACAAUGGGCGCAAGCCUGAUGCAGCGACGCCGCGUGAGGGAUGACGGCCUUCGGGUUGUAAACCUCUUUCAGUAGGGAAGAAGCGAAAGUGACGGUACCUGCAGAAGAAGCACCGGCUAACUACGUG
RNAcentral lists this ribosomal RNA (466 nucleotides) under uncultured bacterium. RNAcentral's name for it is "partial 16S ribosomal RNA". It matches the Rfam family "Bacterial small subunit ribosomal RNA", at positions 28 to 507 of the family's 1533-position model. The record is from RNAcentral.